UACGGAGGGUGCAAGCGUUAAUCGGAAUUACUGGGCGUAAAGCGUGCGUAGGCGGCUGGUUAAGUCAGAUGUGAAAGCCCCGGGCUCAACCUGGGAACGGCAUUUGAAACUGGCCAGCUAGAGUUGGGUAGAGGGGAGUGGAAUUUCCUGUGUAGCGGUGAAAUGCGUAGAUAUAGGAAGGAACACCAGUGGCGAAGGCGACUCUCUGGACUGAUACUGACACUGAGGUGCGAAAGCGUGGGGAGCAAACAGG
RNAcentral lists this ribosomal RNA (253 nucleotides) under uncultured bacterium. Its description in RNAcentral is "partial 16S ribosomal RNA". It matches the Rfam family "Bacterial small subunit ribosomal RNA", at positions 524 to 776 of the family's 1533-position model. The record is from RNAcentral.